UAUGGACCUGACUGGCCUACAUUAGUUGAAUGCUGUGGAUAAGGUCAGGGGCCUACUUUAGUUGAAUGCUGUGGAUAAGGUCAGGGGCCUACUUUAGUUGAAUGCUGUGGAUAAGGUCAGGGGCCUACUUUAGUUGAAUGCUGUGGAGAAGGUCAGGGGCCUACUUUAGUUGAAUGCUGUGGAGAAGGUCAGGGGCCUACUUUAGUUGAAUGCUGUGGAUAAGGUCAGGGGCCUACUUUAGUUGAAUGCUGUGGAUAAGGUCAGGGGCCUACUUUAGUUGAAUGCUGUGGAUAAGGUCAGGGGCCUACUUUAGUUGAAUGCUGUGGAUAAGGUCAGGGGCCUACUUUAGUUGAAUGCUGUGGAGAAGGUCAGGGGUCUACUUUAGUUGAAUGAUGUGGAUAAGGUCAGGGGCCUACUUUAGUUGAAUGAUGUGGAUAAGGUCAGGGGCCUACUUUAGUUGAAUCCUGUGGAUAAGAAGGUCAGUGGCCUACUUUAGUUGAAUCCUGUGGAUAAGAAGGUCAGGGGCCUACUUUAGUUGAAUCCUGUGGAUAAGAAGGUCAGUGGUCGACUUUAGUUGAAUGCUGUGGAGAAGGUCAGGGGCCUACUUUAGUUGAAUGCUGUGGAUAAGGUCAGUGGCCUACUUUAGUUGAAUGCUGUGGAUAAGGUCAGGGGCCUACUUUAGUUGAAUGCUGUGGAUAAGGUCAGGGGUCUACUUUAGUUGAAUGCUGUGGAGAAGGUCAGGGGUCUACUUUAGUUGAAUGCUGUGGAGAAGGUCAGGGGUCUACUUUAGUUGAAUGCUGUGGAGAAGGUCAGGGGUCUACUUUAGUUGAAUGCUGUGGAGAAGGUCAGGGGUCUACUUUAGUUGAAUGCUGUGGAGAAGGUCAGGGGUCUACUUUAGUUGAAUGCUGUGGAGAAGGUCAGGGGUCUACUUUAGUUGAAUGCUGUGGAGAAGGUCAGGGGUCUACUUUAGUUGAAUGCUGUGGAGAAGGUCAGGGGUCUACUUUAGUUGAAUGCUGUGGAGAAGGUCAGGGGUCUACUUUAGUUGAAUGCUGUGGAGAAGGUCAGGGGUCUACUUUAGUUGAAUGCUGUGGAGAAGGUCAGGGGUCUACUUUAGUUGAAUGCUGUGGAGAAGGUCAGGGGUCUACUUUAGUUGAAUGCUGUGGAGAAGGUCAGGGGUCUACUUUAGUUGAAUGCUGUGGAGAAGGUCAGGGGCCUACUUUAGUUGAAUGCUGUGGAGAAGAUCAGGGGCCUACUUUAGUUGAAUGCUGUGGAGAAGGUCAGGGGUCUAAAUGACUGUGUUUUAACC
This is a long non-coding RNA of Oncorhynchus keta (chum salmon), 1306 nucleotides long. RefSeq lists it as uncharacterized. The record is from RefSeq and is a predicted model, not a curated record. The transcript is spliced from 3 exons. NCBI's taxonomy places the organism in Eukaryota, Metazoa, Chordata, Actinopteri, Salmoniformes, Salmonidae.